UCGAAGGAAUGGAGACAGUUGCUAAGGGAGUUGACAUUUGCUGUGUAUGCCGACACAAACAUGGUGUCUGCAUAAAGUGUAGCUAUGGUCACUGCCAAGCCACAUUUCAUCCCUCCUGCGCUAGAAGUACUGGUUUUUACAUGAAUGUAAAGUCUCUUAAUGGCAAAUUGCAUCACAAGGCAUAUUGUGAAAGGCAUGGCUUGGAACAGAGGGCAAAGGCUGAAUCUCAAAAACAUGGAGUCGAGGAGCUUAAGAGCAUGAAGCAAAUCAGGGUUGAACUGGAGAGGUUACGUCUUCUUUGCGAGAGAAUUAUUAAACGUGAAAAAAUAAAGCGGGAUUUG
This 341-nucleotide unclassified non-coding RNA is filed under the name Hevea brasiliensis (rubber tree). The record is from RNAcentral. Lineage: Eukaryota; Viridiplantae; Streptophyta; Magnoliopsida; Malpighiales; Euphorbiaceae.